This 301-nucleotide ribosomal RNA is filed under the name uncultured bacterium. RNAcentral describes it as "partial 16S ribosomal RNA". It matches the Rfam family "Bacterial small subunit ribosomal RNA", at positions 509 to 807 of the family's 1533-position model. The record is from RNAcentral.
CAGCAGCCACGGUAAUACGUAGGGCGCAAGCGUUAUCCGGAAUUAUUGGGCGUAAAGAGCUCGUAGGCGGUUUGUCGCGUCUGCCGUGAAAGUCCGGGGCUCAACCCCGGAUCUGCGGUGGGUACGGGCAGACUAGAGUGAUGUAGGGGAGACUGGAAUUCCUGGUGUAGCGGUGAAAUGCGCAGAUAUCAGGAGGAACACCGAUGGCGAAGGCGGGUCUCUGGGCAUUAACUGACGCUGAGGAGCGAAAGCAUGGGGAGCGAACAGGAUUAGAUACCCGUGUAGUCCCUGUCUCUUAUAC